Molecule: transfer RNA, 85 nt
Filed under: Verrucomicrobiota bacterium
Lineage: Bacteria; Pseudomonadati; Verrucomicrobiota
Description: Verrucomicrobia bacterium (soil metagenome) tRNA-Leu
Rfam family: tRNA
About the family: Transfer RNA (tRNA) molecules are approximately 80 nucleotides in length. Their secondary structure includes four short double-helical elements and three loops (D, anti-codon, and T loops).
Source: RNAcentral
GCGCACGUGGUGGAAUUGGCAGACACGCUACUUUGAGGUGGUAGUGCCGUAAGGCGUACAGGUUCAAGUCCUGUCGUGCGCACCA